This 464-nucleotide ribosomal RNA is filed under the name uncultured bacterium. RNAcentral describes it as "partial 16S ribosomal RNA". It matches the Rfam family "Bacterial small subunit ribosomal RNA", at positions 339 to 795 of the family's 1533-position model. The record is from RNAcentral.
CUACGGGAGGCUCCAGUGGGGAAUAUUGCGCAAUGGGGGAAACCCUGACGCAGCGACGCCGUGUGAGUGAUGAAGGUUUUCGGAUCGUAAAGCUCUGUCGGGUGGAAAGAAUAAAGGCUGUGUAAAUAAUGCAGUCUGAUGACGGUACCACCAAAGGAAGCACCGGCUAACUCCGUGCCAGCAGCCGCGGUAAUACGGAGGGUGCAAGGGUGUUCGGAAUUAUUGGGCGUAAAGGGCGGGUAGGCGGGUAUGCAGGUCAGAUGUGAAAUCCCCCGGCUCAACCGGGGAAGUGCAUUUGAAACCGCAUAUCUUGAGUACGAGAGAGGCAGAUGGAAUUCCCAGUGUAGAGGUGAAAUUCAUAGAUAUUGGGAAGAACACCGGUGGCGAAAGCGGUCUGCUGGCUCGAUACUGACGCUGAGACGCGAAAGCGUGGGGAGCAAACAGGAUUAGAUACCCUCGUAGUC